CGCGCUGCGCCCCUGCUGAGCGGCGCGGAGCUACCACGCCCUGCCAGACUCGCCCUUGGGUCCCUGUCUGACGAGCUCUAGGCAAUCUGCCCUCGUUCGGGACACAACCAUCGGUCUCACCCCUCAGUUUCUGCCAGAGAAAAAGGAAAAGUCACCGAGAGGCCUGACCCUGACGGGUGGGGGAGAUGCGCGUGCGGAGUAGCGGGAAGCGACUGAGGAGCGGGGAAUGGGCAGCAUUUGAAUGGAUGCGGGUGCCGCUGGCACCCGGGAAGACGCUGGGGGCCGGCGCUGUAGAGCCGGGCAUGGGCUGGGAUGUGUUUGGAUUCCAAUCCGGGCCUGACACCAGUUCAGUGACCUCGGGAAGUUCCCCAACCCUCCGGGCCUGUUUCCUCCCUCUGAAGUGGCGACAGUAGUAGAACCGACCUCGUAGGCUCAUCGGGAGGUCCUGAUGGGAGAACCCAUGCAACUUGCCACCAUAGAGCCAGGCCCGCGGCGGUUGGCGCCUGGUGGGUAUUAAAGACGAGUCGGGAAAGAAGAGCAGGUAAGAGGGUGGGGAGACUGGCCCAGUGGGUUGGGGUGUGCACCUCGGCCACGUGGAAAAGCGAGAAUGCAGAGGCCGGACGCUUAUGGACGAUGCAUAUGUGGGGCCGGAUAGAAUUGUGGCAGGCGGCGCUGGGGCUGAUGCUCCUCACCCGGAUUAUCCUCUCUAAUCCUCAGCCCUGUGAAGUGGGCACUGCCCUGAACAUUUUGUAAAUAAGGGACCCGAGGCUCAGAGAGGUGAAGUAACUUUCCAGACAGCCCAGCUCGUCAGCGGCCAGCAUUUGAAGUCACACUCCAGAGCCUGUUUUUAACAUAAUAGCCGCUGUGACCGCAUAACCAACGUGUGUGUUGAAGUGAUCAAAUAACCAUGGAGUGUCUUUGAUGUCCAGGACUUUUGAGAAAUACCGAAAAAUAUGAGGCAAGGCCCCUGCCUUCAAAGAGCUUGCAAGUUUUUGGGGGAGACUUAGGCACAAAUUAACCAACAUCUGUUGAGCACUUGCUGCUUGCCAGGACCCUGCCCUUCCCCUCGUGUCUUCCUCCCUUCCAGGACUCACCCCCUCACUUACCCUCCCCCUCACUUACCCUCCCCCUCAAUUCUCACAGCAACCCUGGGAGGUAGGCCUUAUGGUUUCUGUUUUGCAAAUGAAGAACCUGAGAUUGAAGAAGAGUAGAGAUUGGAGGAUCAGAUCCUGAGAGGUCCCAUGUGCUUUCCAAUAACAGUUCAGUAUAUUAGAAGACAGUGUGGCAUCCACGGCCAAGUACUACUAGUUGAUAGACUGGAUGCUGCUAUGGUAAUCUGCCUCAGGAAAAUGCCGGACUGUUGUUUGCAAGCUGGUUAAGUGAGCAAAUCUUGGGAAGAUUUCAAGGACACCAACAUGGCACAUGUAUACAUAUGUAACAAACCUGCACAUUGUGCACAUGUACCCUAAAACUUAAAGUGUAACAAUAAUAAAAUUUUUUUAAAAAAGCAUGGAAUAAGGCCAUACCCUGUGGGUAGGGUAUAAAGGUUUCCCUCUAUAUAGUAGGUGUUCUUAUUAUCAGUCAUUCAAAGAAAAAGAGAAUCCUCACCAGAAAAUCUUGGAACAUAGAACAGAUGGAAGGUGGCACUUCUGGAUAUGCCUUUUUACAUCUGAACUUGGAAGAGUUAAGAAUUGUUGAAGGCCCUUCUCACUGAUCAGGGGAAAUAGCUUCUGUCACAGAGCUGCCUACUCCAGGAGAACCAAAAAUGAAAGUAAACACUCAUAUUUUGUAAGUCUGUUCCUCAACUUCCAUCAAUCAAGUUUAAUCUAAAUCAAGGAUUCAAACUGAGAAGCAUUUAAGGACCAAGAAAAAGUUAAUUAGCCCAGUAUAAGUCAACAAGAAAUGGUAAGCAGUAUGGAGGAAAAGAAGUGCCACACCCUUCUAGGCAUCCAAAUUCAAGCAUUUACAAUGUACUUCAUGAAGCAGUACCCUAUACAGCACUAAUAACAGCCCAAACUUGCUUGACAUUUCUACAUAACACAUUAUUCAUUAAUUCAGAAGAAAAAUAGAAUUCUUAAAACUCCUAACUUUAUUUUUAAUUAAUAUAAAGGAGGAACCAACAACAACAAAAAAUUGUGUGGGAGUUAGAAAAUAAGGACUAGGCGCCUGGGCGCGGUGGCUCACGCCUGUAAUCCCAGCACUUUGGGAGGCCGCGGUGGGCAGAACACGAGGUCAGGAGAUUGAGGCCAUCCUGGCUAACACGGUGAAACCCCGUCUUUACUAAAAAAUAGAAAAAAUUAGCUGGGCGUGGUGGCGGGCGCCUGUAGUCGCAGCUACUCUGGAGGCUUGAGGCAGGAGAAUGGCGUGAACCUGGGAGGCGGAGCUUGCAGUGAGCCAAGAUCGCGCCACUACACUCCAGCCUGGGCGACAGAGCGACACUCUGUCUCAAAAAAAAAAAAAGCUGGAAGGUAUCCAGAAAUAAGGCAUUCAGAAAUGGAGGCACACAUAGAUGAAGGCAAAGGCCAUUCCUAUGAAGGCAGGUCUGUAGGCAGCUGGUUAUUUGUUUUUCUCAGCCUCUCUUGGUUUUAUCUUCAGGAAACUCCCAAGCAUUCUGGAAGCUCUGCAUGUGAGUAAGAACCACUGCUGUUGCUGUUGCUGUAGCUGCCUGAAUCUAUGGCAAAAAGCCAGGAAAAAAAAAUUGCUUCACACCAUGUGCACCGACUCCCCUGGAGCUGGCACCACCAGGGCGUCUGCAGAGCUAUGUAAGUCGUUCUCCAAGCAGUCUGUCUCUUUGGUAGCUACAGAAACAGUGUUUGUUAUCCUUUGUUUUCGGUAGACAGGCAAAAAUCUGAUGGCGACAUUCUCUCUUUCUGAAGUUGGAGAGCCAACCAGCAAAACCUUCAGAAAGAAGGCAGCUUCUACCAGAGGGAUCUUGUCUCUUAUUGCUGCUUUCAAUACUUUGGAGCCUCAGUGAGAGGACUCCCUAUGAAACCAUGGAAUUAAAGUUGCCCUUUCAGAUUUUAACCUUGAGAUCAAUGCACAGUGGGUCAAAGUAUAGUUAUUCAAAGUCUUAGUAAAGAGGUAAAAUGGCUCCCUGGUAAGCAAGAUUAUGCUAUAAUCUUAAAAUAGGCUCACACCUGUAAUCCCAGGGUGCUGGGAUUACAGGUGUGAGCCACCGCGCCCGGCCUGGAACUCCUGACUUUAUAAUCCACCUGCCUUGCCUCCCAAAGUGCUGAGAUUACAGGCGUUAGCCGCCACGCCUGGCCCUCUUCAUCUUCUUUUAAAGCCACCCACCAGUCACAUCAUGGAGGCCCCACCCUGAUGACCUAACCUAUUAUCUAAUCCUGAUUACAUCCCAAAGGCCCCACUUCUAAUCAACAUAUGCAUUGGGGAUUAAAGUUUGGAAUACAUAAAAUUUGGGAGACACAUUCAAAUCAUAGCAAUAGGAAAUACCAUCUUUGGUGGAAAAACAUGUGGCUUAGAAAGCAAGUCUAUGGUUUUGAUGGAAGUAGCAAAAUACUUUAUCAUCACAAAGCGGUAUCUAUUGUUGCCAACUUUACUUUCCCAUCACAUUAGCCUUGUAUUAGAUGAAGUAAAGAAAUAUGAGUUUUUAAGUAAAUUAGGUUAACCAGAAAUGCAUUAAAUUGUUGUAAGUAAAAAUUAAUUAAUGGAUUAAUAUAAACAUAAAGAAAAGUUUCCAAAG
This 3703-nucleotide long non-coding RNA is filed under the name Homo sapiens (human). RNAcentral describes it as "long non-coding RNA NONHSAT149618.1". Lineage: Eukaryota; Metazoa; Chordata; Mammalia; Primates; Hominidae. The record is from RNAcentral.